This 430-nucleotide ribosomal RNA is filed under the name Pseudomonadota bacterium. RNAcentral's name for it is "Proteobacteria bacterium partial 16S ribosomal RNA". It matches the Rfam family "Bacterial small subunit ribosomal RNA", at positions 355 to 776 of the family's 1533-position model. The record is from RNAcentral. Lineage: Bacteria; Pseudomonadati; Pseudomonadota.
UGGGGAAUAUUGGACAAUGGGGGGAACCCUGAUCCAGCCAUGCCGCGUGUGUGAAGAAGGCCUUAUGGUUGUAAAGCACUUUAGGCGAGGAGGAGGGUACUGGUAUUAAUACUACCAGGUACUGGACGUUACUCGCAGAAUAAGCACCGGCUAACUCUGUGCCAGCAGCCGCGGUAAUACAGAGGGUGCGAGCGUUAAUCGGAUUUACUGGGCGUAAAGCGUGCGUAGGCGGCUAAUUGAGUCGGAUGUGAAAUCCCCGAGCUUAACUUGGGAAUUGCAUUCGAUACUGGUUAGCUAGAGUGUGGGAGAGGAUGGUAGAAUUCCAGGUGUAGCGGUGAAAUGCGUAGAGAUCUGGAGGAAUACCGAUGGCGAAGGCAGCCAUCUGGCCUAACACUGACGCUGAGGUACGAAAGCAUGGGGAGCAAACAGG